This 272-nucleotide ribosomal RNA is filed under the name uncultured archaeon. RNAcentral describes it as "partial 16S ribosomal RNA". It matches the Rfam family "Archaeal small subunit ribosomal RNA", at positions 477 to 747 of the family's 1478-position model. The record is from RNAcentral.
UGGCGCCACAAGUGGUGAUCAUUUUUAUUGGGCCUAAAGCGUUCGUAGCCGGUUUGAUAAAUCUUCUGUGAAAUUGUCAGGCUUAACCUGACAGCGUGCAGAAGACACUAUUAGACUUGGGACCGGGAGGAGUCAGAGGUAUUCUCUGGGGAGCGGUAAAAUGCUAUAAUCCAGAGAAGACUAACUGUGGCGAAGGCGUCUGACCAGAACGGAUCCGACGGUGAUUGGCCGAAAGUCAGGGGAGCAAUCCGGAUUAGAGACCCGAGUAGUCC